This 329-nucleotide unclassified non-coding RNA is filed under the name soil metagenome. RNAcentral's name for it is "partial contains 5.8S ribosomal RNA, internal transcribed spacer 2, and large subunit ribosomal RNA". The stretch from base 1 to 120 matches the Rfam family "5.8S ribosomal RNA", at positions 35 to 154 of the family's 154-position model. The record is from RNAcentral.
GAUGAAGAACGUAGCGAAAUGCGAUAAGUAAUGUGAAUUGCAGAAUUCAGUGAAUCAUCGAAUCUUUGAAUGCACAUUGCGCCCCCCGGUAUUCCGAGGGGCAUGCCUGUUCGAGCGUCAUUAUAACCCCUCAAGCUCAGCUUGGUGUUGGGGCCUGCUGCACUGGCAGCCCUUAAAAUCAGUGGCGGCGCCAUCUGGCUCUAAGCGUAGUAAUUCUUCUCGCUAUGGAGUCCUGGUGGAUGCUUGCCAUCAACCCCCAAUUUUUCUAUGGUUGACCUCGGAUCAGGUAGGGAUACCCGCUGAACUUAAGCAUAUCAAUAAGCGGAGGA